Molecule: unclassified non-coding RNA, 233 nt
Filed under: fungal sp.
Lineage: Eukaryota; Fungi
Also listed under: 2 other names
Description: partial internal transcribed spacer region
Rfam family: Eukaryotic small subunit ribosomal RNA (bases 1-46)
Source: RNAcentral
AAGUCGUAACAAGGUUUCCGUAGGUGAACCUGCGGAAGGAUCAUUACAGAGUUCUUGCCCUUACGGGUAGAUCUCCCACCCUUGAAUACAUACCUUUGUUGCUUUGGCGGGCCGCGCUUGCGCUACUGGCUCCGGCUAGUACGUGCCCGCCAGAGGACCACAACUCUUGUUUUUAGUGAUGUCUGAGUACUAUAUAAUAGUUAAAACUUUCAACAACGGAUCUCUUGGUUCUG